CGACUAUUUGAGGGAGUGAAGGCUUUACCAGAGUGGUUGGGUCGAAGCCAUGCGACACCUCGCCAAUUUACUUCGCACUGAACUAAGCAACGACGCUCUUACUCGAAUGUGCAGUAGGUGCAAGCAGAGUCUAGCAAGCUCAUUGAACUUUGAUAUGACUCAUGCCAGUCUUCAAGGGCUUUUUUCGUUCAUGGAACUCACUAUGCCUCAAUGGUGGCAGGGUAUGCUGUUGAGGAUGUAAAUUUCUAC
This is a long non-coding RNA of Pyrus x bretschneideri (Chinese white pear), 249 nucleotides long. RefSeq lists it as uncharacterized. The transcript is spliced from 3 exons. The record is from RefSeq and is a predicted model, not a curated record. NCBI's taxonomy places the organism in Eukaryota, Viridiplantae, Streptophyta, Magnoliopsida, Rosales, Rosaceae.